This 745-nucleotide ribosomal RNA is filed under the name uncultured bacterium. Its description in RNAcentral is "bacterial SSU rRNA". It matches the Rfam family "Bacterial small subunit ribosomal RNA", at positions 33 to 773 of the family's 1533-position model. The record is from RNAcentral.
ACGCUGGCGGCAGGCCUAACACAUGCAAGUCGAGCGGUAGAGAGAAGCUUGCUUCUCUUGAGAGCGGCGGACGGGUGGGUAAUGCCUAGGAAUCUGCCUGGUAGUGGGGGAUAACGUUCGGAAACGGACGCUAAUACCGCAUACGUCCUACGGGAGAAAGCAGGGGACCUUCGGGCCUUGCGCUAUCAGAUGAGCCUAGGUCGGAUUAGCUAGUUGGUGAGGUAAUGGCUCACCAAGGCGACGAUCCGUAACUGGUCUGAGAGGAUGAUCAGUCACACUGGAACUGAGACACGGUCCAGACUCCUACGGGAGGCAGCAGUGGGGAAUAUUGGACAAUGGGCGAAAGCCUGAUCCAGCCAUGCCGCGUGUGUGAAGAAGGUCUUCGGAUUGUAAAGCACUUUAAGUUGGGAGGAAGGGUUGUAGAUUAAUACUCUGCAAUUUUGACGUUACCGACAGAAUAAGCACCGGCUAACUCUGUGCCAGCAGCCGCGGUAAUACAGAGGGUGCAAGCGUUAAUCGGAAUUACUGGGCGUAAAGCGCGCGUAGGUGGUUUGUUAAGUUGGAUGUGAAAUCCCCGGGCUCAACCUGGGAACUGCAUCCAAAACUGACUGACUAGAGUAUGGUAGAGGGUGGUGGAAUUUCCUGUGUAGCGGUGAAAUGCGUAGAUAUAGGAAGGAACACCAGUGGCGAAGGCGACCACCUGGACUAAUACUGACACUGAGGUGCGAAGGCGUGGGGAGCAAAC